Molecule: long non-coding RNA, 785 nt
Organism: Numida meleagris (helmeted guineafowl)
Lineage: Eukaryota; Metazoa; Chordata; Aves; Galliformes; Numididae
Exons: 7
Source: RefSeq, a predicted model, not a curated record
GUCAUGGUAUUUCAGUCUUAAUUCUGGCCGAGCUGGGACAGCUACACAGGAAGAGAAGAAACAAUUAGGAUUUAUGUUAAGCUAAUUACAAGGAACUAUUCCAGCGGCAUUAUCUGUUAACUCACACUGACAACACAGGCCUUCCAAAGUUAACAACAGUGACUCCAAACCCCCUACUUAAAUCAAGUGAAGAACAGCUCUGUUCCAAAAUGGCUGCCUGCUAGAGGAGGAAUACAACCCAAUGCAGUUCUGACUUCAUGUGCUGCAAGAUAUACUGGAAUGGGAACAUAAAACUCUCAGGUGCUUGUUACAUGGAGAAAUAUUUUUCAGCUGCUGAUGUUGCCUACGUAUUGUUUUCUGUGAAAAGCCUUGAUCCAGAAAGACGGCACCACAACCAGGAGGACAAUUGAAACAGCAAGAGAAUUCAGAGACACAUGCAUAUUGCUGAGGCAAAUGUUCUGCCAGUGCAACUUGUUCCCUGAAGAUGGAGAGACUUUUUGAGAAUGCCAGCUCGCUGCAGUUAAUACUAGAGGAUGUGGGAGGUGAGGUUAUCAGCCAUGGAUACUGCUCCCUGAAGCAGAAGACAAAUCUGUGAACUUCUAGUGCAAUUCUUCUUCUGUUCUUUCACUGAAACUUAUCUGGUUGAUCCAGGUUCCAGUUGUGAUUUCCUAUUGAUCAUCGUCUUACAAUGAAUAAUUAGAGAUCUUACAGGAUCAGCAAAUAAGAUAAGAAUUACUUCAAGUUAGCCUUUUCACGGGGAAGGAACUGAGCAAAACUCACAAUAA